AGAGCUAAUACAUGCCACGAUGCCCUGACCCUUCGGGGGAUGGGUGCAUUUAUUAGAACAGAACCAACCGGGUGCAUUCCUCUGGUUUGCGCCUGUCAUAUUCUGUGAUGACUCUGGAUAACUUUGCUGAUCGCAGUCGGCCUUGUGUCGGCGACGAGUCUUUCAAAUGUCUGCCCUAUCAAUUGUCGAUGGUAGGUGACCUGCCUACCAUGGUGAUAACGGGUAACGGGGAAUCAGGGUUCGAUUCCGGAGAAAGAGCCUGAGAAACGGCUACUAUUUCCAAGGAAGGCAGCAGGCGCGCAACUUACCCAAUCCCGGCACGGGGAGGUAGUGACGAAAAAUACGGAUGCGGGACUCAACAGAGGCUCCGUAAUUCGAAUGAGUACAAUUCAAAUCCUUUAACGAGGAUCAACUGGAGGGCAAGUCUGGUGCCAGCAGCCGCGGUAACUCCAGCUCCAGAAGCGUAUAUUAAAUUUGUUGCAGUUAAAAAGCUCGUAGUUGGAUCUGGGACGCAUGGGUGCUAGUCGUUUCUUGCAUUUCUGACCUAGCCACGGUUGGGUCGGUUUUGCGAGGCGAUUUUGUACCUGUGUAGCCUUUCUGCCGUGUCUGUUUACGGGUGCUGACGGUCAAUACGUUGGCAUGCUUCCAGGUGCUCUUAAUCGGGUGUCUGGAGCGGACGGCAAGUUUACUUUGAACAAAUUUGAGUGCUCAAAGCAGGCCUAUGCCUGACAAUUCUUGCAUGGAAUAAUGGAAUAGGACUUCGGUUCUAUUUUGUUGGUUUUCGGAUCCGAAGUAAUGGUUAAGAGGGACAGACGGGGGCAUUUGUAUGGCGGUGUUAGAGGUGAAAUUCUAUGAUCAUCGCCAGACAAACUAAAGCGAAAGCAUUUGCCAAGGAUGUUUUCAUUAAUCUGGAGCGAAAGUCAGAGGUUCAAAGACGAUCAGAUACCGUCGUAGUUCUGACCAUAAACGAUACCAACUGACGAUCCGUGGGUGCUCGUUCAUUGA
This 1005-nucleotide ribosomal RNA is filed under the name Microphalloidea sp. Type XII RS-2020. Its description in RNAcentral is "SSU rRNA". It matches the Rfam family "Eukaryotic small subunit ribosomal RNA", at positions 160 to 1074 of the family's 1831-position model. Lineage: Eukaryota; Metazoa; Platyhelminthes; Trematoda; Plagiorchiida. The record is from RNAcentral.